This 1350-nucleotide long non-coding RNA is filed under the name Cyanistes caeruleus (blue tit). RNAcentral's name for it is "lncRNA (ENSCCEG00000014265.1)". The record is from RNAcentral. Lineage: Eukaryota; Metazoa; Chordata; Aves; Passeriformes; Paridae.
CUGCCGGCGCUGGGGCCCGCGCUGGACCUGGAGGCUCUGGAACGGGGCGAUGCCGAGGCCCUGGCAGGUGAGCAGCACCUGAGCCCCGCUCCCCUCACCCCUGGGGGACCCCCCAAAACUCACCUGGCCCCCCGCAGCUGUCCCGGUGACGGUGGCGGGGCUCGGGCUGGCUGCGAGCGAUGCUGAGGAGGACGGGGCAGCAGAAGCCAUGGAGGACGACAGCGCUGACCUGGAGCUCAGCACGAUGACAGUGGAGCUCAAGCCCCGGGUGAAGUCGGGGGGCACUGGGGGGGAUCCAGUGCCCCGAGCCCCCAGUCUGGAGGAGGUGGCUGCGCUCCCCCCUCUGCUCCAGGGCCAGGGGCUGCGGGCAGCCGGGAAAAGGAGGAAAAAACUGCAAAAAAGAGCAGAGAAAAUCGCCACGAAGCUGUCGGAGACACUGGAGGCAGCCAUGCAGUUCUGAGGCUUUUAUAAAUUAAAUCGCUGUAUUUAAAUGAGAAACAGUUCAAUCUUUUCAGAAACAAAAUAACUAAGGGAGCAGGGAGGGCUGUAGGGGUGGUCUGGGAGGUCUCUCAGGUAAGAGAUUGAAAUGUGGAGGUUUUUGGGGGUCCUUGUCCCUGGAAGGGUUUUGGGGGGGUCUCACUGCAUCUUACAGCUGGGGGGGUGAGUGGGGAUCACUAAAAACUUAUCAGUUUUUACAGCUGAUAUAGAAAAUGUAACGCUCAGCCACUUAGUGAACCUCAGAACUGGGGAGGGCUCAGCAUUAGGGUUGCACCCCAUUAUUAAAGACACUCCACCUCCACAACCUCCCCAAUUCCUGUAGCACCCAGUACCCCACUUUGACACUAAAUGAACCCCCCCCAACCUUCCAGAGCACCCCAAAAGCCACCUCGGACACCCCAAAAGCCACCUCGGACACCCCAAAAGCCACCUCGGACACCCCACACACUCCCUGAGGUCCCACAGCUCCCCAAAACCCCCUCGGACCCUCCCAAAAAGCAGAGGGUGCCUCCCUAAGCCGUCACCCUUAGCCCUCACAGCACCCUCACCUGUAUAGGCAGGGUGUGAAGGUUCCCCCGGGAUUUUGGGGUGCCCCCAGUGCCGGGCUGGGGAGGGGGAACGCGGCCACCGAGCUCCCCUCGGCCUCCACCCACCAUUCUGCCACCUUUUCCUCCGCCUGUGAGGAGCAGCAGCCACAGGUGGUGGUGAGGGCAGCACAGGUGUUUCAAAUAACGGCUGAUGAGGCGGAGGGAGGGGUGGAAGGGGCCGUCCCGCCUCGUUUUGGGCUGGUUCGUGGGGGUUUUUUUGCAGCGCUUGGCGCCAUUUUGCCGCCGUGAGGGGAGGGGGGGGGCG